Molecule: long non-coding RNA, 436 nt
Organism: Pantherophis guttatus
Lineage: Eukaryota; Metazoa; Chordata; Lepidosauria; Squamata; Colubridae
Source: RefSeq, a predicted model, not a curated record
UUCUACAAGGGAUCGCAGUUAAUUGAUGGUUCUUUUCUGCAAAGUUAGGAGCUGAGUUUCCUGGUACGGAGCAGUCAACAAACCUUGGCUUGUGCACCUUAUACACUGGAUUCUGAUGAUAUUGUAGUAUUUACUACAAUCAAAUCAACAUUAUUCAGUUUGUGAGUCUGUGGUGUUGUUUGGACUUCGCAAACAAGGGAGUGUGUGAGUCAUGUUGAUUCUGAAGUCAUGUCCUGCUUUCACUUCCCAAAACUCAUGAAGCAUGCAGAAGAAAAUUAAAAAAUGGUGGGUGGCUUAAAGAAUUCCUUUCCAUCCUGCCCUUUCCUGGACCACAGACUCCUUUUAUGAGAAGGUGCUUUUUCUAGCACAGGUGACAUCAUGACAGAUUUUUUUUUCUUGUGAUUUGAAUAAAAUGUCCUUUAUUCAGUAAAAACGG